UUAAGCGACUAAGCGUACACGGUGGAUGCCCUGGCAGUCAGAGGCGAUGAAGGACGUGCUAAUCUGCGAUAAGCGUCGGUAAGGUGAUAUGAACCGUUAUAACCGGCGAUUUCCGAAUGGGGAAACCCAGUGUGAUUCGUCACACUAUCAUUAACUGAAUCCAUAGGUUAAUGAGGCGAACCGGGGGAACUGAAACAUCUAAGUACCCCGAGGAAAAGAAAUCAACCGAGAUUCCCCCAGUAGCGGCGAGCGAACGGGGAGGAGCCCAGAGCCUGAAUCAGUGUGUGUGUUAGUGGAAGCGUCUGGAAAGGCGCGCGAUACAGGGUGACAGCCCCGUACACAAAAAUGCACAUACUGUGAGCUCGAUGAGUAGGGCGGGACACGUGGUAUCCUGUCUGAAUAUGGGGGGACCAUCCUCCAAGGCUAAAUACUCCUGACUGACCGAUAGUGAACCAGUACCGUGAGGGAAAGGCGAAAAGAACCCCGGCGAGGGGAGUGAAAAAGAACCUGAAACCGUGUACGUACAAGCAGUGGGAGCCUCUUUAUGGGGUGACUGCGUACCUUUUGUAUAAUGGGUCAGCGACUUAUAUUCUGUAGCAAGGUUAACCGAAUAGGGGAGCCGAAGGGAAACCGAGUCUUAACUGGGCGUUAAGUUGCAGGGUAUAGACCCGAAACCCGGUGAUCUAGCCAUGGGCAGGUUGAAGGUUGGGUAACACUAACUGGAGGACCGAACCGACUAAUGUUGAAAAAUUAGCGGAUGACUUGUGGCUGGGGGUGAAAGGCCAAUCAAACCGGGAGAUAGCUGGUUCUCCCCGAAAGCUAUUUAGGUAGCGCCUCGUGAAUUCAUCUCCGGGGGUAGAGCACUGUUUCGGCAAGGGGGUCAUCCCGACUUACCAACCCGAUGCAAACUGCGAAUACCGGAGAAUGUUAUCACGGGAGACACACGGCGGGUGCUAACGUCCGUCGUGAAGAGGGAAACAACCCAGACCGCCAGCUAAGGUCCCAAAGUCAUGGUUAAGUGGGAAACGAUGUGGGAAGGCCCAGACAGCCAGGAUGUUGGCUUAGAAGCAGCCAUCAUUUAAAGAAAGCGUAAUAGCUCACUGGUCGAGUCGGCCUGCGCGGAAGAUGUAACGGGGCUAAACCAUGCACCGAAGCUGCGGCAGCGACACUAUGUGUUGUUGGGUAGGGGAGCGUUCUGUAAGCCUGCGAAGGUGGCCUGUGAGGGUUGCUGGAGGUAUCAGAAGUGCGAAUGCUGACAUAAGUAACGAUAAAGCGGGUGAAAAGCCCGCUCGCCGGAAGACCAAGGGUUCCUGUCCAACGUUAAUCGGGGCAGGGUGAGUCGACCCCUAAGGCGAGGCCGAAAGGCGUAGUCGAUGGGAAACAGGUUAAUAUUCCUGUACUUGGUGUUACUGCGAAGGGGGGACGGAGAAGGCUAUGUUGGCCGGGCGACGGUUGUCCCGGUUUAAGCGUGUAGGCUGGUUUUCCAGGCAAAUCCGGAAAAUCAAGGCUGAGGCGUGAUGACGAGGCACUACGGUGCUGAAGCAACAAAUGCCCUGCUUCCAGGAAAAGCCUCUAAGCAUCAGGUAACAUCAAAUCGUACCCCAAACCGACACAGGUGGUCAGGUAGAGAAUACCAAGGCGCUUGAGAGAACUCGGGUGAAGGAACUAGGCAAAAUGGUGCCGUAACUUCGGGAGAAGGCACGCUGAUAUGUAGGUGAAGCGACUUGCUCGUGGAGCUGAAAUCAGUCGAAGAUACCAGCUGGCUGCAACUGUUUAUUAAAAACACAGCACUGUGCAAACACGAAAGUGGACGUAUACGGUGUGACGCCUGCCCGGUGCCGGAAGGUUAAUUGAUGGGGUUAGCGCAAGCGAAGCUCUUGAUCGAAGCCCCGGUAAACGGCGGCCGUAACUAUAACGGUCCUAAGGUAGCGAAAUUCCUUGUCGGGUAAGUUCCGACCUGCACGAAUGGCGUAAUGAUGGCCAGGCUGUCUCCACCCGAGACUCAGUGAAAUUGAACUCGCUGUGAAGAUGCAGUGUACCCGCGGCAAGACGGAAAGACCCCGUGAACCUUUACUAUAGCUUGACACUGAACAUUGAGCCUUGAUGUGUAGGAUAGGUGGGAGGCUUUGAAGUGUGGACGCCAGUCUGCAUGGAGCCGACCUUGAAAUACCACCCUUUAAUGUUUGAUGUUCUAACGUUGGCCCCUGAUCGGGGUUGCGGACAGUGUCUGGUGGGUAGUUUGACUGGGGCGGUCUCCUCCUAAAGAGUAACGGAGGAGCACGAAGGUUGGCUAAUCCUGGUCGGACAUCAGGAGGUUAGUGCAAUGGCAUAAGCCAGCUUGACUGCGAGCGUGACGGCGCGAGCAGGUGCGAAAGCAGGUCAUAGUGAUCCGGUGGUUCUGAAUGGAAGGGCCAUCGCUCAACGGAUAAAAGGUACUCCGGGGAUAACAGGCUGAUACCGCCCAAGAGUUCAUAUCGACGGCGGUGUUUGGCACCUCGAUGUCGGCUCAUCACAUCCUGGGGCUGAAGUAGGUCCCAAGGGUAUGGCUGUUCGCCAUUUAAAGUGGUACGCGAGCUGGGUUUAGAACGUCGUGAGACAGUUCGGUCCCUAUCUGCCGUGGGCGCUGGAGAACUGAGGGGGGCUGCUCCUAGUACGAGAGGACCGGAGUGGACGCAUCACUGGUGUUCGGGUUGUCAUGCCAAUGGCACUGCCCGGUAGCUAAAUGCGGAAGAGAUAAGUGCUGAAAGCAUCUAAGCACGAAACUUGCCCCGAGAUGAGUUCUCCCUGACUCCUUGAGAGUCCUGAAGGAACGUUGAAGACGACGACGUUGAUAGGCCGGGUGUGUAAGCGCAGCGAUGCGUUGAGCUAACCGGUACUAAUGAACCGUGAGGCUUAACCUU
This 2900-nucleotide ribosomal RNA is filed under the name Escherichia coli B367. Its description in RNAcentral is "bacterial LSU rRNA". It matches the Rfam family "Bacterial large subunit ribosomal RNA". Lineage: Bacteria; Pseudomonadati; Pseudomonadota; Gammaproteobacteria; Enterobacterales; Enterobacteriaceae. The record is from RNAcentral.